GAUGAACGCUGGCGGCGUGCUUAACACAUGCAAGUCGAACGGUGAAGGCGGAGCUUGCUCUGCUGGAUCAGUGGCGAACGGGUGAGUAACACGUGAGCAAUCUGCCCCUGACUCUGGGAUAAGCGCUGGAAACGGCGUCUAAUACUGGAUACGAGCUGCGCAGGCAUCUUCAGCAGCUGGUAAGAACUUCGGUGAGGGAUGGGCCCGCGGCCUAUCAGCUUGUUGGGGAGGUAUCGGCUAACCAAGGCGGCGACGGGGAGCCGGCGUGUGAGGGGGACCGGCCAAACUGGGACUGGGACAGGGCCCGGACUCCAACGGGAGGCAGCGGUGGGGAAAAUUGAACAAUGGGCGAAGGCCUGAUGCAGCAACGCGGCGGGAGGAACGACGGCCUUGGGGUGGUAACCCUCUUUUAGCAGGGAGGAAGCGAUAGUGACGGUACCUGCAGAAGAAGCGCCGGCUAACUACGUG
This 468-nucleotide ribosomal RNA is filed under the name uncultured bacterium. RNAcentral's name for it is "partial 16S ribosomal RNA". It matches the Rfam family "Bacterial small subunit ribosomal RNA", at positions 28 to 507 of the family's 1533-position model. The record is from RNAcentral.